GGUGCGUGCAGACGGGUCAUAGCUUGCACAAUAGGGGUAGCCGUUGUUCUCUGGGAAGCCGCCGGGGUUUUGGGGGCACGUGGUGCGCAGGUCGUAGUAGUAGGUGCCACUGCCCGAUCCCGAGUAAAGGACUUUGCUACCACCACUGCAUGGGCGGCGGGGGACAGAGUGGGGCGAAGUGUGACGAGCAGGGUGGUAUCCACACGCAUGGCGGUUUAUUAGCAAUUUAAUAGUAGCUAGACUCUGUCACAGAUGCAACAACAGCAAGCAGAGCGUGUCGAGUUCGUACACACACCCGCACUGAUCCCAUCUACCUUGACCAGCCUAGCCUAUGAGCUCCUAUUUCGUGUUUUCCCACGCAGUAAUUUCAGACUGUAGUAGCUGGUACACAGUAUAGCUCUACAAAUACGCGCGACGCGCGACCGCCAGCACCUCGAGAGGCCUUUUCGGCGGCCAGCUACUACAUUUGGUAUCGAGACCUUGUGAAGUCGUCGGUUCAACUUCGUCGGUUCAACUCCCACUAAUCACGCUUGGUGGAAUAUGGGGUUUGGUGACUCAGUGAGCGAUUAUCGCGAUAAUAGUGUAGCUGAACCGACUGGACUGUCUCUGUGCCUGAAAAACCUUUAGACGGCUAGGCGCAUGUGUGUGUGACAUGACGUGACGUGGACUGGGCACCCACUGCCCGAGGGUAGGCGAAGGUAGGCACAGGCUGGUGGUAUACGUGGCCAUAAGGACCCGAGACGGAUCCCUUCAAAAGGGGGGAAUGUAGUAGCUGAUACACAGUACGGCUCUACAAAUAUGCGCAAAGCGCGAUCACCAGCAUCUCGAGAGGCCUUUUCAGCGGCCAGCUACUACACAGACAUACAUCCAUCGAUGUGCAUACGUACCCUCCUCCUUAGCACGGCACAUUGAUGACCUGGCCGAUUUGCAGGCUGUUGGGGUCAACUCCCGGGUUCAAGGACUGAAUGGCGCCCACGGUGGUGCGGCGCCGCUGGGCGAGGAUCCAAUAGGUGUCACCAGCUUGAAUGGUGUACUUGCAGCCUGCGUAUAUUGAGUGAGGCAAGGGAAACACUACUUAAGCAGGAGCAGCACCGCUGCUUACUUACCCUACUUAAGCAGGAGCAGCACCGCUGCGGCUCAUUCGAUCAUCACAUAAAAUAUCGCCUCAACACACUUGUGCCGACAGGUCUGCUGCACUUUUCUAAAGUGUGGUGCGUGUGUAGUGACUGCCUGCUGGGUAGAUAGGGAGGAUGCAACAGCAGACGCGCAGCAGCAGGCGUAUGUUCAUUAUGUGUACAACAGCUAGCUUGAAAUAAUGUAUGUGCCGUACUGGAGAUAUACGUCAAUACUACGAUAGCAAGCCAUUGGCGACGGCUUUCGGUUACCAUUUCUCUGUUUCAUCACUAGCAUAGCAUAGUAUGCAUAUUAUGGGAUGGUGUCAGCGGUCGCACCCAACAGCUAUAAACGAAGUACCGUCCGGUGUUUCUCAGAGGGAGACUUCCGAGUUGAUUAGUUUACUAAUGUUUUAAUUUACUCAGCAGCUGGUUCAGGGUUUGCAGAUUCAAUAGGAUUGCUGCGAAGGAUGAUUAUCUUAUUAAGUCCUCCCUCUGAAUCACUCAACAAACGCAAAUGCCAAUGAGAUGCACCCAAGAACGAGCUAGCCAUAGGGAUACCUAGGCCUAGCCAUAGGGAUUACCAGGCCUGUAAACGCUCCUUCGCCAGCUGUGUUCGCAAUAGCACCGCCUCUCAUUGACGAUCGAUCGCCUCCGGACUGCUGGGGAUGACAGACGAUGGCUCCGCCGUCACCACUUCCACACUACUAUUUUCCCCCCCUCUUUCUGACAAUAUUGCUUUGACACAAAUCUUAAAAUCUGCACGUUUUCUGAGUGAAACGAAUAUUUAUGACCAGGCUCGCCCCUUCCCACGGAAGCAAGCACAACCUUCCUGCCUACAGGUACUCCUCCGUCUGUACGACCCCUAAGCAGUAAGGCAACUACACAAGAAAUCCUAAACAGGCAGUCAUAUGUCUAUAUAUCUGCACCACGCGCGAGCAAGCAAUCGCAUGUGCUUACCUCUGGCAGCUGGCGUAGUGGAGGUCGGCGUUGAUCUGAUCCAGCAGGCACACACGGUACGUGUGGGAUUGAUUGGAGGCACAGUGCUUUUAGUGACAAGAAAUCAGAUUCCUUAAGAUAAUAAAUAAAUUGGGGUGUUCGGGCUUGGGUAAAAUGAAUGGAUUCACGUCGCUCCGGCUGCCCACGCAAGUUCCUUCCUUUGGGCCAUAGGUGGCCAGAAAGUUGUGGCCGGAAAUGCACUAAUAUCAGCACUCAUAGCAGUUAUCAUUAAUAAAUCAACUGCACUCGGUAGAUGCUGGAACAAUAGGUGGUCGGCGGUGCUUGCGUGUUACGGUACAAGCACAUGUAGCCUAUGAGCUCCUAUUUCGUGUUUUCCCACGCAGUAAUUUCAGACUGUAGUAGCUGGUACACAGUAUAGCUCUACAAAUACGCGCGACGCGCGACCGCCAGCACCUCGAGAGGCCUUUUCAGCGGCCAGCUACUACAUUUGGUAUCGAGACCUUGUGAAGUCGUCGGUUCAACUUCGUCGGUUCAACUCCCACUAAUCACGCUUGGUGGAAUAUGGGGUUUGGUGACUCAGUGAGCGAUUAUCGCGAUAAUAGUGUAGCUGAACCGACUGGACUGUCUCUGUGCCUGAAAAACCUUUAGACGGCUAGGCGCAUGUGUGUGUGACAUGACGUGACGUGGACUGGGCACCCACUGCCCGAGGGUAGGCGAAGGUAGGCACAGGCUGGUGGUAUACGUGGCCGUAAGGACCCGAGACGGAUCCCUUCAAAAGGGGGGGAAUGUAGUAGCUGAUACACAGUACGGCUCUACAAAUAUGCGCAAAGCGCGAUCACCAGCAUCUCGAGAGGCCUUUUCAGCGGCCAGCUACUACACAGACAUACAUCCAUCGAUGUGCAUACGUACCCUCCUCCUGAGCACGGCACAUUGAUGACCUGGCCGAUUUGCAGCCUGUUGGGGUCAACUCCCGGGUUCAAGGACUGAAUGGCGCCCACGGUGGUGCCGCGCCGCUGGGCGAGGAUCCAAUAGGUGUCACCAGCUUGAAUGGUGUACUUGCAGCCUGCGUAAAUUGAGUGAGGCAAGGGAAACACCCUACUUAAGCAGGAGCAGCACCGCUGCGGCUCAUUCGAUCAUCACAUAAAAUAUCGCCUCAACACACUUGUGCCCACAGGUCUGCUGCACUUUUCUAAAGUGUGGUGCGUGUGUAGUGACUGCCUGCUGGGUAGAUAGGGAGGAUGCAACAGCAGACGCGCAGCAGCAGGCGUAUGUUCAUUAUGUGUACAACAGCUAGCUUGCAAUAAUGUAUGUGCCAUACUGGACAUAUCCGUCAGUACUACGAUAGCAAGCCAUCGGCGACGGCUUUCGGUUACCAUUUCUCUGUUUUAAUCCUAUGUUUCAUCACUAGCAUAGCAUGGCAUGCAUAUUCAUCUAUGGGAUGGUGUCAGCGGUCGCACCCAACAGCUGUAAGGAAAGUACCGUCCGGUGUUUCUCAGAGGGAGACUUCCGAGUUGAUUAGUUUACUAAUGUUUUAAUUUACUCAGCAGCUGGUUCAGGGUUUGCAGAUUCAAUAGGAUUGCUGCGAAGGAUGAUUAUCUUAUUAAGUCCUCCCUCUGAAUCACUCAACAAACGCAAAUGCCAAUGAGAUGCACCCAAGAACGAGCUAGCCAUAGGCCUAGGUAAUCCCCUUGUAAACGCUCCUUCGCCAGCUGUGUUCGCAAUAGCACCGCCUCUCAUUUACGAUGGAUCGCCUCCGGACUGCUGGGGAUGACAGACGAUGGCUCCGCCGUCACCACUUCCACACUACUGUCCUUUAUCUACGGAGUUGUUUGGACUCUUCAUCGAGACACUAGCUGAUCUGAUUGAUACUCAUGACCUUGUAGAAGCUGGAGCACGGAAGUAUGUCGCACCCCUUGUGGACAGCAAGCGCGUCUCCAUACUGUCGAUGUUGUUACAGGGUGGUUAAGCUUCACCAGUGGCCUCCUUCCCGAGGCAGUUCCCUGCUCUCCCCUGCUAGAGGGGCACCCUAAUCCAUUCACCCCAUCCGACUUCAGAGUGUACUCUUUGAGUUUGGCAACUCACCACCAGCAUCCAACCAAAUCUAGCGGAUCAACGGCGCGUCAACUUAGUUCCUGGUCAGCUCGCAAGUUGAUUUUAUCACGUCCUACACCAUCCACAAGAUGGGGGGCCACCUCCCAUUUCAACACCUCUCAAAUACCCCCAGAGGUCGGCAGGCGGAUUUGAAUCCGGACGCGCCGGGAGCAGAAGUCAGGCCUUAACCUCUGCCAGCCGCCUGCCUCCAUACUGUUGAUGUUGUUACAGGGUGGUUAAGCUUCACCAGUGGCCUCCUUCCCGAGGCAAUUCCCUGCUCACCCCUGCUAGAGGGGCACCCUAAGACAUUCACCCCAUCUGACUUCAGAGUGUACUCUUUGAGUUUGGCAACUCACCACCAGCAUCCAACCAAAUCUAGCGGAUCAACGGCGCGUCACUACUGUUGUAUGCAGACGAUGUUAGUCUGCUAGCGACUUCACUAGAGCGAAUGUCUGAGUUGCUACAUCUUGUGGACUUGUUUUGUGAAGCUUUUGGGAUGCGACCAAAUGUCUCAAAGUGUGAAAGGCUUGUUUUUGCAUGUGAUGGCACCCAGCAGUCGGAACUUAGCGAGAGAUGUCAACAGUUACGGCUAUCAGGCCAGGUAGUACCUGCCAAAGAUAGCGCUCGCUAUCUGGGCUUGGUAUAUGGGCCAGAACGGCCUUUUAGUGCGUGCCGUCAGCAGUUGUGUGAUACAGGUCGGUCCGCUAUGUUUUCCUUAAGCGCAAAGCUGGACAAAAUGAAGCUUUUUGCCCCCGAUGUGCGAAUGCGGUGUUUUGCAACCCAAGUCCGAGCAAUUCUGUUGUAUGGCUGCCAGGCGUGGGGCCCUUUUGCGCUGGCAGAGGUCGUGGACAGGGUGGGAAGGCGGCGGGAUAAAGCCAACCUUCCGGAGGGCAUGUUCGAAGCCUGUUUGAAGGAUAGUGCAGUCCAGCUGCAGAUUUUAUUCAUGAGGCAGGUAGUGGGGACGGCACGGCCAUCCCACAGGCUGUUGUACGCCGAGCUGGCUGAACUCCCCUUACAAUAUUACAUGGUGAAGCAGAUCCUCCGUUUCUGGAACCGCCUUCAAAAGCAAGUGGGAUCCAUUGCUCAUGCCGUUUUACGGCAGGAGAUAACCGAUGCCCUGACCAACCCGGAAUGGGAGGGUUGGGGAAUCUCAAUGUUACGACUGUUUUCCUUCUUGGAGUGCAACAUUUGGAGCGGAAUACCGCAAGAAGUCGUGGGGGUAAAGGAGCGUGUUGACUGGUUGUUGAGUAGACCUCUACCCGAAGGAGCGAUGAUAACGGCACUAAGGGAGCGUUUGAUGAGCGGCUGGGACCAUACGCGUCUGACUGUCUUGCCAGAGGAGUACCCAUCAGAUGGGAAGCAACCGGGAGUGCAAAUGGCGAAGUAUAAGCACUGGAUGGGGCUGUCCUUUUCGGGAGCCGCAGCCGUCAUGUGGCCAACACAUGCUAAGGUUUUCAUUCCUCGUUUAGCACAUCGUAAGCUAAUGCAGUUUCGUUUAUGUUGCUGGGCUUUGGAGGCAAACAGAGCACGAAGGGGCAAGUACCAUGUCCCCAGGGGGCAGCGGUUUUGCCACUGUUGUGGUACAAAUAGCCGAAUUGAGGAUGAAAAACACGUGUUAUUGGAAUGUCCAGCCUAUAAUGAUAUUCGUGCUGAAGAGGGAUUCGAUCAUCAACAGAGCAUGUUGGAGGCCAUGCAAUGGGAACCCGCACGUCUGGCAAGGAUGUUGGAACGUAUGUGGGCUCACCGAAACUCAAUUACCCCCUUUGGACGCUAGUCUGGGCUGAUGUGCGGUGUUUUUUCCUUUUCUCCGUGGCUUUUAGGCGUUGUAGUAUUGCCCUUGGGCCUUCGGCUCGUAUGGGAAGCAGGGUUCGACACCCCGUACGGGGCCCGUAAGUUUUUGGCCUUUUUUCGGUAUCCCCGUCAGGGCCCGUAGGACUUUUCGGUGGCUCCCGUAAGGAUUUUGGGGCGCGAAGCGCCCCGUACGGGGCCGCCCCCGGACGGGCCGAAGGCCGGUUACGGUGGCUCCCGUAAGGAUUUUAAGGAUUUAUAAGAGGCCGUACGGGGCCCUGUAGGGGAGAGGACGGACCAUAUAAAGGAUAAGGCCACACACUUGGCAGACAUAAUUCAUAUUGCAAUAUUUAACUACACUUUUCAUAAAACUUUUAUAGCUUCUGGUCUGUAACAUCCAGCGAUGGCAGACAAUGAGUCGUCAGGAGGUGACCAAGCGCCUCCUAAUCCACCGCCCUCCAAGAAGCGCGAGAAAAUAACGAAAAUAACGAUUUACAGAGCAAAAAAAUGCAAAGCGUCACUUUCCACAGCGUUUCAGCCAAGGACAGUGCCCCCGUAAAGGUUUUGCGGGGGUUACGGGGGCCCCCGUAAGGUUUUCGGCCGGUACAGGAGCCUGGUACGGGGGCCCCUCCGUAAGGAAAAUUUGGGAGGUACGGGGGAGCCCGCAAGUUUCAGGAAGGUCAGUGUCGAACCCUGAUGGGAAGUCUUACAGGUAUGGGGUCACGCACCCCCAACCAUGUAACACACACACACACACACACUUCCACACUACUAUUUUUCCCCCCUCUUUCUGACAAUAUUGCUUUGACACAAAUCUUAAAAUCUGCACGUUUUCUGAGUGAAACGAAUAUUUAUGACCAGGCUCGCCCCUUCCCACGGAAGCAAGCACAACUUUCCUGCCUGCAGGUACUCCUCCGUCUGUACGACCCCUAAGCAGUAAGGCAACUACGCAAGAAAUCCUAAACAGGCAGUCAUAUGUCUAUAUAUCUGCACCACGCGCGAGCAAGCAACCGCAUGUGCUUACCUCUGGCAGCUGGCGUAGUGGAGGUCGGCGUUGAUCUGAUCCAGCAGGCACACACGGUACGUAUGGGAUUGAUUGGAGGCACAGUGCUUUUAGUGACAAGAAAUCAGAUUCCUUAAGAUAAUAAAUAAAUUGGGGUGUUCGGGCUUGGGUAAAAUGAAUGGAUUCACGUCGCUCCGGCUGCCCACGCAAGUUCCUUCCUUUGGGCCAUAGGUGGCCAGAAAGUUGUGGCCGGAAAUGCACUAAUAUCAGAACUCAUAGCAGUUAUCAUUAAUAAAUCAACUGCACUCGGUAGAUGCUGGAACAAUAGGUGGUCGGCGGUGCUUGCGUGUUACGGUACAAGCACAUGUAGCCUAUGAGCUCCUAUUUCGUGUUUUCCCACGCAGUAAUUUCAGACUGUAGUAGCUGGUACACAGUAUAGCUCUACAAAUACGCGCGACGCGCGACCGCCAGCACCUCGAGAGGCCUUUUCAGCGGCCAGCUACUACAUUUGGUAUCGAGACCUUGUGAAGUCGUCGGUUCAACUUCGUCGGUUCAACUCCCACUAAUCACGCUUGGUGGAAUAUGGGGUUUGGUGACUCAGUGAGCGAUUAUCGCGAUAAUAGUGUAGCUGAACCGACUGGACUGUCUCUGUGCCUGAAAAACCUUUAGACGGCUAGGCGCAUGUGUGUGUGACAUGACGUGACGUGGACUGGGCACCCACUGCCCGAGGGUAGGCGAAGGUAGGCACAGGCUGGUGGUAUACGUGGCCGUAAGGACCCGAGACGGAUCCCUUCAAAAGGGGGGGAAUGUAGUAGCUGAUACACAGUACGGCUCUACAAAUAUGCGCAAAGCGCGAUCACCAGCAUCUCGAGAGGCCUUUUCAGCGGCCAGCUACUACACAGACAUACAUCCAUCGAUGUGCAUACGUACCCUCCUCCUGAGCACGGCACAUUGAUGACCUGGCCGAUUUGCAGCCUGUUGGGGUCAACUCCCGGGUUCAAGGACUGAAUGGCGCCCACGGUGGUGCCACGCCGCUGGGCGAGGAUCCAAUAGGUGUCACCAGCUUGAAUGGUGUACUUGCAGCCUGCGUAAAUUGAGUGAGGCAAGGGAAACACCCUACUUAAGCAGGAGCAGCACCGCUGCGGCUCAUUCGAUCAUCACAUAAAAUAUCGCCUCAACACACUUGUGCCCACAGGUCUGCUGCACUUUUCUAAAGUGUGGUGCGUGUGUAGUGACUGCCUGCUGGGUAGAUAGGGAGGAUGCAACAGCAGACGCGCAGCAGCAGGCGUAUGUUCAUUAUGUGUACAACAGCUAGCUUGCAAUAAUGUAUGUGCCGUACUGGACAUAUCCGUCAGUACUACGAUAGCAAGCCAUCGGCGACGGCUUUCGGUUACCAUUUCUCUGUUUCUCUGGAAACUAUAUAUGGUUGCAAACAUGAAAACCAACCCGACACUGUUACCUGGCCCUUCCCUUACGGAAGGAGCCAUUUGUCGAGUUGUUGUUGACUUUUGGGGCCGCAUUCAGGGUUUCGCAGCUCUGGGAAUUACACAGAAAGGUUGGGAUUCUGUUGGUGCACAUCACCCCUUCUUGCAGAUUGUGUCAGGCAAAAUGUUAUGCUCACGGGAGCGGUCACCGAUAGACGAUUAGCUAUCACCUAAUUUUUUUAUUGUCUUAAUUGGAGGACUUUUGAGGCUCAGGCCUAUUCAAUAUUAACUGGGAAUCCUGAGACUUCCCUUUGGUCGCGGUUUUGACUGUCGAUUUUCUUUUAGUUGUCUCACCUGGGUGAUUUUCGAGUUUGUAUAUUAGUGUCUAGUGCAAUGCACGGCCAGCUGGCCCGCUGGCUCUACUCUUUGUGAGUCUGGAUCUGUCUGGAGCCCACUGUAAUGGUUGCAAAAACCCACAGGCCUGGAAGGCUCCCGGAAGCUGGCAGGUGCAGGUGCCGCUCAGCUGCAUCAAGGUGCUUCAAGGCCCCAAACUACCUUGAAGCGUUAGGAUGGAUAAAAUGAAGAGUGUAGCUGUUGUAUUCUGGGCAUAUUACGGGAUCUGCGCCCGCCGAUCGAUACUUUUCUGACGCCGUGAUACAACUCUAGCACCGCUCAGCACCGCCGAGCAAUCAGUGCAAUCGUAGGUCAGUCGGCAUGCAGAUGGCAACAUAUGAUGUCAACAUCAACCAUCCCAGGGGCAUGCGUGCCAAGGCCUACCUCUUAGAGAGCAGGGCAAAUAUACCGUAUACACCGACGUGAUGUCGGAAAAGCGUGUGUAUGUGAUGGGAUUGAAUGACGACACACCUACCUGAUGCCAGCAAGCGCCGGCUGCUGUCGCCAUCAGCGGCGCAUGUGUCGACGAUGAACGCGGAAGCGGCGACAGCUACGACAAGCAGCAGCAGGGUGCUGCUGAAGCGCGGCAUAUUUACUUCUCGAACCGAUCUACACUGUAUUGCGUUCGUGAAUUGCAAGAUGCUUGAUGUACCGCUGUUUAAAGCAGCUCUCAUACAAACGAUAUGCAGGUACGACUGCCGAAUAAAAACUCCGUACAAUUCCAAAAUGCGAAGGCCACGGCCGGCUCUGCGAAGGCCACACGCAUAAUGCUUAUCCCACCAGCACUCCUGGCUUUUGAAAAGGUCAGACCCCUUGGCGCGGCCCGCCGAGGGCUUCACAUUCUGGGCAAGAUAAUCAAGCCGCUUCAGCUCCCGAUCGAAUAUCGCCCGCCCGCGAAUUUUACGCACAUACGCGUCAAGCCCGCGUUCCCGGCUUUUGAGAGCUGGCCUUUGCGCGCCCGGCCGUGGCCUUCGCAUUUUGGAGUUGUACGGAGUUUUUAUUAAGCAGCUUGCAUCACGUUUGAGUGAGAGCUGCUUAAUAAAAACCGUCGUUUGAGUGAGAGGCUGCUUAAUGAAAACCCUCGUUUGAGUGAGAGGCUGCUUAAAGACGCUAACGCGACACCUCGCCUCUUCACGCUUGUCUUUUCAAUGUUUCAUUAUCUAUAAAAGAAAUAUGGUAGUAAUGAAAAGAGAACGAAGGAAGCUGGGGGACGUGUUGAGACAGGGCCCUGGUUAUAACAUGACGACGGGUGAUCGCGUUAAGUCCGCGUUAGCUCGCGUUAGUUCGCGUAACGGUGCGAAUCUUAACGUUAGGUGCGAAUGAGCAUGCUUUUGUAACGCAAAGAGCUAACGCACAACGGCUAUGGAAAAGCGGAAAUCGGCCCUUCUGGCCAAGUUUUUAAAAAUUUAUAAUUUACAGAUUGUAAAGGUUUAUUUGGAAAUAAACUUGCGUCGUUUUGGUCGACUUGAACAAUUCAUCCGUGCGUAUGUUGAAACGCGAAGCAUACGCGCAUGUGUAGCAAGGCGAUACGCAUGCGAUUCCAUAUUGCGAUUCGUGCGUGUGGGGAGACAAUGCGUAAAGCAAUUCGCGUCCACUCGCACAUCAAACGCACACAGUCCGCAAGGCUAUUUGCAUGCGAAUGCAUGUUGCGUAUCAUGCGUAUGAAGGCUGAUUGCGUAAAGCUUAACGCGGCCUAACACUCACCUUACGCACACAUGUCGCAACGCAUUUCGCAUGCUAAUACAUGCUGCGUUUCAUGCGUAUAAAGGCUCAUUGCGUCAAGCUUAAUGCGGCCUAAGCUAACACACAACAAGCACACACAAUUUACCUUUGAUGAAUCGCAUGACAUAACAAUUCACAUGCGAUGUUUUAAGUGUUGUCGCAUACGCAGUUCGUUAACCUUCACGCAGUUUCAUGAAUAACAUGCUUGGCAGCACUCAGGGGGGCCUUCCGCAAACGAAAUCGCAUCAGGCGCAGCCCUACAUCGUACAACAAUUCAUCAUACCAUCAAUAGAUGCCAGAAAGGUGGCGGGACAUGCCGCAUGCGAACGCGCACGCAAUUAGACCCCCGCCGUGAGAUGCGUCGGUGGCUGUGAGGCAGGUGGGGACAUGCCUGGGAGGCUGAAAGGGCUUCCGGACGCAUAAAUCGCACCAGGCGCCGUCGUACGCCGGACCAACGAUGCAUCAUAACAUUAACUAGCUGUUAGAAAGGCGUUAGGAAUAGGAGCAUCCAUACGCGCACGCAAUUAGACCCCCGCCGUGAGAUGCGUCGGUGGCUGUGAGGCAGGUGGGACUUGCCUGGGAGGCUGAAAGGGCUUCCGGAUGCAUAAAUCGCACCAGGCGCCGUCGUACGCCGGACCAACGAUGCAUCAUAACAUUAACUAGCUGUUAGAAAGGCGUCAGGAAUAGGAGCAUCCAUACGCGCACGCAAUUAGACCCCCGCCGUGAGAUGCGUCGGUGGCUGUGAGGCAGGUGGGGACAUGCCUGGGAGGCUGAAAGGGCUUCCGGAUGCAUAAAUCGCACCUAAAGCGCCUAAAGCGAAAUGAUUUAGCACCACCUAUAGAAAUAGAAAUGCACAUGUAUAGAACCAACAGUGCUGCAAGCCGCCAACACCCACGGUCCUGCCUUGCUGGAAUUCCCGGUGUAAUCCGACCUCGAAAUUGCAAUUUAGAAUGGACAACAUUUACAGAGAGCACCUGGCAAGAGCGCGGGGCAAUCCAGAUGGUCCUAUCACUGCUGGCAUGCUCCUAGCCCUCUAGGAGGAUUUCAAGAAGCUCGGAGACCAGAUGCUCGAUCUGGAAAAUGAGCAACAACUCUCCCGCAUGGAGAUGAUCAAUACAGCGAUACUUACCAACGGCGAUAAGAGCUUCGUAUGUCGCAGCCCUACUAUCCCUACGAACGCGGAGGGGGGUUGAGAAACUUAGGAGAAUGCUUAAGAACGAUAAGAACGUCUGAAGAACACGGAGGCGGCGGGUGUGCAUUCUUAAACAUUCUUACACUGGGAUUAAGCGGUUUUAUGUAAGUAUGUCAUAUAAGUAGGGUUGUUGAUUUUAUUAGAAUUUCAGGCGUUCUCUACUAAUUAUAAUAUUAUUUCUAAUUAGAACGUUAGAAAUAAUAUUAGGAGACCUGGGGUAACUUCUCAGGGAGGGGGACUUUUCACUUCGGAGUUUCACCAUGGUUACGGCAGAUGCUAACCCAGGUGUUUUUAACGGUUUUUACGGGGCUACGACACCCGUAAGCAGGACUUCUCAGCCAAACCCCCGGUCGAAGUGACCUCUGGGUCACUAAUUUCGCCUUUAAACUGUCUUAGACUGUCUUAAACUGUCUCUGCGUACGCCUUCCCAACAUCUUUGGUACCUGAACCAAGAGUCCAAGAGUCCAGUCCUAAUUGUCUGCAAAGCAACACCCAACACACAGUCCGGACAUGCCAAACCUGUCGCCCCAAAACUUCUAGAAAAAUCCAUAAGUGUAUGUUGCUUUAGGAGUCUUCGAAACUGGUGGUUUUGAUGGCCCAGCAUCAGCAUCAGCCAUUUUUCCUAGAAAAAUGUGCCGUUGCAGGCUGCGGAGGCGGCCUGAAUAGCCAUUCUAAUGGGUGUACGACAUUAGAACGUCCUAAUCUGUUCUCAAGGGGUCUUCUAACUUUCUCAUUAGAAUUCUAAUUAGUUUAAUUGUAAUAUUAUUUGUAAUUUCUAAUGCACCAACAACCAUACAUAUAAGUAUGCAUUAAGAAUGCAUCAGCCAUGAAAACAUUCUGUAAUGAAUGCCUGAUGGAGCUCUUAUAGUUCCGGAUAGGUAAUAUAUAUCAGUGAUUGCGAAACAGUGAACAUACCAUGAAAUUUCAUGAAAACCAUCAACAUGUGUCUGGGUCUAGACCUUAGAUCUAAUAAUGCGAGAUCUAACAGGUUUAGACCUGUUAGANNNNNNNNNNNNNNNNNNNNNNNNNNNNNNNNNNNNNNNNNNNNNNNNNNNNNNNNNNNNNNNNNNNNNNNNNNNNNNNNNNNNNNNNNNNNNNNNNNNNNNNNNNNNNNNNNNNNNNNNNNNNNNNNNNNNNNNNNNGGAAAAUGAACAAAAAGAGAUUUGGUGGCGUCUUGCGGUUGAUGGGGUGCCUAUGUUAGGAAAUUCCCAUCUUAGGAUGUCGCGCCCAACGAUAUGUGGUUGUGGAGGUUAUCCAAUAGGUUCAGUGGGAGGUGUAUCCCCUCGCUAUCAUCAUUUCUGGGCCUGUCCGGUGGCACAGGCAAUAGCAGAUCAACUUACUCUUUCAAUAGGAUUGCCAGUCUCAAGGGAGCAACUUUGGCUUAUCCAAGCCCCACAAUCAGUGCAACAAUGUGUUUGGGAUGUUGUGGCUCUUGCUGCGGUGUCAGCCAUGGAGCAUGGGAGACGUUAUAUGGCUGCAAACAUGAAAACCAACCCGGCACUGUUACCUGGUCCUUCCCUUACGGAAGAAGCAAUUUGUCGAGUUAUUAUUGAUUUUUGGGGCCGCAUUCAGGGUUUCGCAGCUUUAGGAAUUCCACGAAAAGGUUGGGAAUCCGUUGGCGCACAUCACCCCUUUUUGAGGAUUAUAUCUGGCAAAUUGAUUUGUUCGCGAGAGCGGUUACCGAUGAGAGGUUAAUUAUCUGAGAUGAUAAUCUUUUGGUAUAUUAGUCUCUACUGCAGUGCACGGCCAGCUGGCCCGAUGGCUCUACUCUUCGGGAGUCUGGAGCCCACUGUAACAACCACACACACACACAUCCUUGCAUCCUGGGGGAGUCUUGGCAGGAUGCGUUAACAUUAGGGCUGGGAAUUACGGUUACGGUCCUUACGGAGUUGCGCAUUACACCUUUCGCAAUUACGGUGACCCCCCAAAAGCACAGUAAAAUGACGGUCCUUACGGUGUAAUGCAAUUACGGUUACCAAAAGGUCCAAAUUACGGUCGGACCGCAAGCGUGCGAGCCAAUACCGACGACCACACCUCGAAACAUGCCAUUUCGUCCCUUGGAGCUACGGGAUAGUAUUAAAAAGCUUAUUAUACAUUAACCUAUGAUUAUGGCUGCUUGCAAAACAAAUUGCGGGAUGCGAGGCGAAGUGCAGUCUUGCGUACUGCUGAAGUCGCAAGUCGCAAGUUGCAAGUCGCAAGUUGCAAGUCGCAAGUUGCAAGUCGCAAGUCGCAAGGAACACGCAAAAUUUUCUAUUAUGAUAUUCUAUAUACGCGAAUACGUACGUGUGCAUACUCAGUUUGUAGAGCGGAUCUCACAAUGUUAACUUAACAUGCAUCCUGUCAGUUGGAUACAUCCUACACCCCCUUUCCAUAUCCUAGCUAACUGCCUAACACACGAAGUAACUUAAAUAUCGUUCUUCUUAUCUCACAGAACUAAAGCAAGAGUGUUACAAAAGAUCUUGCAGCAAAGCAACAUAUUUAGCUUACAUCUGUUACAGAUUUGGAAUUUUCGUAAAUGUGACUGUAGUAGCUGGUACACAGUACGGCUCUAUAAAUACGCGCGAAGCAGGACCACCAGCAUCUCGAGAGGCCUUUUCAGCGGCCAGCAACUACAUUUGGUAUCGAGACCUCGUGAAAAUUCACGAUCCUGAAGUCGUCGGUUCAGCCCCCACCAAUCACGCCUGGUGGAAUAUCGGGUUUGGUGACUCAGUGAGCGAUUAUCGCGAUAAUACUGUAGCUGAACCGACUAGACUAUCUCUGUGCCUGAAAAACCUUAAGACGUGGACUGGGCACCCACUGCCCGAGGGUAGGCGAAGGUAGGCACAGGCUGGUGGUAUACGUGGCCGUAAGGACCCGAGACGGAUCCCUUCAAAGGGGGGGGAAUGUAGUAGCUGGUAGACAGUACGGCUCUACAAAUACGCGCGAAGCGCGACCACCAGUAUCUCGAGAGGCCUUUUCAGAGGCCAGCUACUAUAGCGAGCCCGAGCAGCUCAACAGUGGCAGUGAAAUGUCUAUCUUACACCUCCAGAAAGUAUUUGCUAACUUAGAAUCAUCUAUUGAGAAAGCAUUUGCCCCUAGUAUGUAGGUUAAUGCGUGUAGACCACUGGCCCACCAUAACGAAACAGGAUAUAUCCUGAUUUCCUUUCUCUUGAUAUGAUGAGAAAUAUUCGCUGGUGUAAUUAGCGAGUUUAUACACACACCGAGCCUGGGGCCAUGGGCUGGCUCUACAGCCCUGCAAGGCUUGUGUUGGUGAGGCAAUCUUUACAAUUAUACACUCGAAGUGUUUGGUGAACAUGUAUGUUUGUAUGCGUAGACAUGUGAGCUCGAUACAGGCAGAUGCAUGGAUGGAAGUGUAUAGAGAGGCAUGCACAUAUUUUUUUUACAUAAGCGAAAUAGGCAUACGUGCUCACAUAGAUGGAUGAGACAGCUGUGAUAGCAUGUGUAGGCAGGUUGGACAGGGACAUGCUUACAUUCCAUUGACACCAGCAUAUGGCCCGGCAUACGGACAAGGAACACUUGUAAACACGGGUUACCCUGUCUGUUACCCCUCAGUACAAUAAUACCCCGACCCCUUUGUUACCCCUUGGUAAGGGGUUACCCCUACCCCUUUGUUACCCCUUGGUAAGGGGUUACCCCUACCCCGGGGUUAGGUUACCCACCUCCCUUUGUACAUACCCACAUGGGUAACCACUUACCCCUACCCCUACCCCUAACCCUAACCCCUGGGUUAUGCUUAAGGGGGGAUUACCCCUCGUUUUAUGCCAUAGGGAUAGUGUGUUUAGGAUUUAGGAUAGACAGCAAUCGGAUCGAUACUUAUCAGCUGGUGUAAUGUUGUCAUUUAUGAUGAACUUGAUUGUCUUCUUACAUGUGUAAUGUGUAUUUGUUUACGUAAAUACUUGGUACCCAGUGCUUGGUUUAAUACUGAAGUUCUUGAUAAUGAUUAUAAAUGUUACUUCAUAUUUUGUUUGAAGUUCUUGACACACGUUACUUCAUAAUUGCCUGAAGUUCUUCAUAAAUGUCACUUAAUAUUUGUUUGAAGGACUUAGUAUUCGGUACCAAGCGCUUCAAGUACCAUUAUGUGUGUGUGUGUGUGUUACAUGGUUGGGGGUGCGUGACCCCAUACCUGUAAGACUACCCAUACGAGCCGAAGGCCCAAGUACCAUUAGUAUGUAACAUGAUACUAAGUGAUCUACUAAGCGACUUAUUAAGAAUGUUACCAAGUAGCUAUGAAGUAGAUAUGAAGUGGGUAGCACUAAGUUGAUAUCGACCGUGCUGGAGUCAAGUAUUUUGUGACUAGCCAUGAUCUCAUCAUUGCUACCGAAGCACACUUAACGGAUCCAGUGCCAGACAAUGACGUGUCCCUUGAAGGUUUCCGCUUGAUGCGGGUGCAGAGGCCAGGAGACGCCGUACACGCUGACUAUAGAGGGGUUGCUCUUUACGUGCGUGAUACCGUCUCCCAUGGGGUUACCAUUGUCCGGAAGAACAACUGUCUUGCAGGCUGUGAGGUCCUGUGGAUACGUGUCAACCUCCUGUCAGGAAACAGCCUCCCGGUGGGGGCCUGUUACCUUACGCCCGAAGCUUCCAGAGUAUACCCAGCCGGAGGUGCAACUAAUGCACAGCAUGCAGCAGCGGCAGAGGCUACUUUCGCGAGAGUCCAACAAGAUAUUUCCGAGCUCCGGCAGCCGGGGGAGGAUGUGAUGCUUGCCGGUGAUCUAAAUGCCCGUCUAUCCAGUGCACUGCAUGCAAAGCACCGGUCCUCGCCUGCUGACCUGCCCGGGUAUGUUAAUGAUGUUCCAGAUUUAGAUCAGCUGACGGCAAUGCAGGAGUUCAUGGGCUUGCCGGGUGACGCGGACCCUCAGGGCUAUGCAGACGUGCCUGCAUGUAGGAGUGAGGACCUCGUCUGCAAUUUUGUUGGGCACCCGUUGGGUGCCCUGUGCCGAUCACAGGGACUGCUGGUAUUAAAUUGCCGAGGAUUUGGAGGGUCGUCUGACAUUUCCCAAAGGUGAAGCAGGUGGGAGCAUGAUCGAUCUUUUUGUUGGUUCUCCAGUGUUCUCGUACGUUCUCCAGUGUUCUCCGUACGUUCGGACGCGUCCAGCGUUUUUUUAAGUAAUAUAUUAAUAAAAAGAAAUAAACAAACAUUUUGGCCUUUGGAAAAAAAGAAUAAAAUGAGGCCGACCCGUCUGGUGUUAGUGAUGGUGCCGGGGUCGGUGGAGGAAGAGUGCCGGUUCUCGGCAAUGGGGUACUUGCAGGACCCCACCCUUAACCGCCUGGACGAGCACCUAGCAUUGUGUGUGCGAUUUUUUACCCAGGACCUGUUCGACCUGGGCACGUUCCCGUUCCGUGACGCACUGAGAGUGGCUGGACAGCAGCAGCAGGGGCCAGUACGUGAUGAACCGGUAAGAGUCCUAGUGUGCUGUGGUUUGCAGAGGCGGGUGGCGGCCUGUGAUUUGCUAUGCGGUUGCUUGCUUUGGGCCUUUGUUUGGUCGAUUUUACUUAUUGCUCACAAACAGUGCCAGAACUAUCUACGCAUGUGCACGAAGAGUUCACACACGAACGAAAACGCGCCAACUCAGUGCGUGACUCUUGGUCUAUGAGGGGAGUUGUGACUUAUCGUGGGGGGUCUGGGGGGCCCCGGAGCUUCCCCCAGCGCCUCACACUUAAGGAAUAAAUUACGACGACCCUAGCAGCUUUGACAGCCUAUGCAGCUGAGCACAGAAAGAGUCCGACACCGACGCGUACGGCAUCUUGGCCAGCCUUGCUCCGCUCUGGCCAUUGCCCACAAAACCUUUUGUUAGCAUCGUAUUAGUCAUUUAGCUGGUCAUUUGGGACAUUCCGGGGUGUGAGGUGCGGGGCUUCCCUUGGUACUUUACACCGGCUUAAACACUCCUGGUCUAUACCGUGUGUCUGUCACAGGGUUUGGCCCAGGGUAGCCACAGUAAUCCGCUCGCAACAACUGCUUUCAUUUAUGGCGGUGAUGAGCCGGUCUUUCUUCAACUAUUUCAACCAGGACACCCAGGAAAUAAGUGUAUGCAUCCAGCGCUCCAUGCAUGUACGACGGAUAGAACAAUCUAUCUGGACAUUAUAAGAUUCUCAUCAUCAAUCACGGAGGUACAAACUGCUGCACCACCUCAUCCACCACUUGCCAGGAGAUGCCCGGAACCACCCCCAGCGAACAGGCAUUGCUGGCGGCCCGCUGCAAACCACUCAAACUGAAGUCAAUGCGACCCCCGCCAACACAUGCCUCGCAGCCGUCCCACACGAAGAAGCUACCACCGUUCGGAGCCGUCACAGGAACGCCAUUCUUGAACACCAGGACUUUUUUGCCACACAGCCUGGCACGAUUUGCUGACAGCACAUUGCGGUCAAUGGCAAUGACGUUAUUAGUGUUGAGCUGAGCGAGAGUCUUGUAGGUGGGUGCAGACGGGUUAUAGCUGGCACAAUAGGGGUAGCCGUUGUUCUCUGGGAAGCCGCCGGGGUUUUGGGGGCACGUGGUGCGCAGGUCGUAGUAGUAGGUGCCACUGCCUGAUCCCGAGUAAAGGACUUUGCUACCACCACUGCAUGGGCGGCGGGGGACAGAUCGGGGCGAAGUGUGACGGGCAGGGUGGUGUACACACGCUUGGGGGGUUAUUAGUAGUCUAAUAGUAGCUAGACUCUGUCACAGAAGCAACAACAGCAAGCAGAGCGUGUCGAGUUCGUACACGCACCCUCGGAGACAGGCAUGCAGAGGGCACAUGGCUGCACGUGCAGUACUGAUCCCAUCUACCUUCGCAGAGGUUCCUAUCGCACGUACAUAUGCCACAUAUACCGUGCUGAGGACAGUCCGGACAGCUAGCCGGCAGGGGGAAGACAGGGGACCUGACGACACACAUGCAUGUGUGUUAUGCAUGUGUGCGUAUAUGGUACAUACCCUUGCGGUGCAGGGCCAUUGCUGCCGCAUGGCACAUUGAUGACCUGGCCAACUUGCAGCCUGGCGGGGUUAACUCCCGGGUUCAAGGACUGAAUGACGUCCACGGUGGUGCCGCGCCGCUGAGCGAUGGCCCAAAAGGUGUCACCAGGCUGGAUGGUGUACGUGCAGCCUGUGUAAAUUGAGUGAGGCAAGGGAAACACCCUACUUAAGCAAGUGCAGCGCCGCUGUGGCUCAUUCGAUCAUCACAUACAAGUUGGGUGUCGGCUUCCUCGAAAAAGGGCGGGGCCCCUCUGCAUCGUACAGGCCGGUAGCUACAGUGGCACGUGUCACAAUUGAUGGGUAGUGUCAACGCGGUGGGAGAUGUGCUUUGUUGCAGCAGUGCUGAUGGUGUGAGAGCUAAGCUUGCACCGGCGGAAUCGUCAGCACCGCCUGAGGGCUCCACGCGAAUCACAUCCAUUCCGGGUGCAUGCCGCAUGGACAGUGCGGCAGACCGCAAGUCGGAAUGUCCGUGCGGGCAAAUGGUAACGAAAGCUGGGUGAAUUUCGGUGCUGUCUGUGAUGUUUAUCCCCGAAGCGCCAGCGGCCUCAGCAAUCCGCCCCACAGCCGCGGGCUUCAUCAGGGCACACCGCAAGUCUCAGGAGGCCCCGUGCAUUGGCCAAAGUAAAUGUACAAACAAGCAGCUUGUGUAUUUCAUAGAGGAAUGAAAGCAAAUUAUGUUGGCCUGCUGGUGGCAAGUCGGAUUGCCCAUGCCGGCAAAUGGUAACACAAGCUGGGUGUUCGAGUUAUCACACGCCGUCAUCUCAGAAUUCCAUUGUGAGAUACGCGGCAGCUCUCGGGAUGAAAUUUAGCGCGAGAGGCGUUGAUGUGACUUUUGAGGUCGGUGAAUGGAGGCAGCUAAACUUGUUUGUGCUCAUACGGUCUUUGUUAGCUACAUGCGAGAUACCUUGCAAAGAGAAUGCUGUAUAGUACCGAUAACGCGUUUCAGCCGGGUGAAAUAUUAUGUUUGGUCCGUUACACACUCAAGGCCUGGGAGUUCGAGUUAUCAUACGCCGUCAUCUAAGAAUUCAAAUAUGAGAUACGCGGUACCUUUUGAGAUUAAAUUUAGCGCGAGAGGCGUUGAUGUGACUUUGGCCUCGGUCAAUUGAGGCAGCCAAACUUGUUUGUGCUCAUACGAUUUUUGUUGGCUACAUGCGAGAUACCUUGCAAUAGAGAAUGCUGUAUAGUACCUUUAACGCGUUUCAGCCGGGCGAGAUAUUAUGUUUGGUCCGUUACACACACACACACACACACACACACACACACACACACACACACACGGACAUGGGCAAUCCUACAGGUCGGGGCCCCCCUGGGCGCUUCGCGCUGGGGCCCCGCCCAAAAAUAUCGCCUCAACACACUUCUGGCCACAGGUCUGCUGCACUUUUCUAAAGUGUGGUGCGUGUGUAGUGACUGCCUGCUGGGUAGAUGGGGAGGAUGCAACAGCAGACGCGCAGCAGCAGGCGUAUGUUCAUUAUGUGUACAACAGCUAGCUUGCAAUCAUGUAUGUGCCGUACUGGACAUAUCCGUCAAUACUACGAUAGCAAGCCAUCGGCGACGGCUUUCGGUUACCAUUUCUCUAUUUUAAUCCUAUGUUUCAUCACUAGCAUAUCAUAGUAUGCAUAUUAUGGGAUGGUGCCAGCGGUUGGACCCAACAGCUAUAAACGAAGUACCGUCCGGUGUUUCUCAGAGGGGGACUUUCGAGUUGAUUAGUUCACUACUGUUUUUAUUUACUCAGCAGCUGGUUCAGGGUUUGCAAAUUCACAAUAAAUUGCUGCGAAGGAUGAUUAUUUUAUUACCUCCUCCCUCUGAAACACUCAACAAACGCAAAAUGCAAGUGGGAUGACACCCAAGAACGAGCUAGCCAUAGGCCUAGGUAAUCCCCUUGUAAACGCUCCUUCGCCAGCUGUGUUCGCAAUAGCACCGCCUCUCAUUGACGAUCGAUCGCCUCCGGACUGCUGGGGAUGACAGACGAUGGCUCCGCCGUCACCACUUCCACACUACUAUUACUUUGACACAAAUCUUAAAAUCUGUAUGUUUUCUGAGUGAAACGAAUUUUUUUGACCAGGCUCGCCCCUUCCCACGGAAGCAAGCACGGCUUUCCUGCCUGCAGGUACCCCUCCGUCUGUACGACCCCUAAGCGGCCGCGGUAAGGCAACUACGCAAGAAAUCCUAAACAGGCAGUCAUGUGUCUAUAUACCUGCACCACCUGCGAGCAAGCAAGUGCAUGUGCUUACCUCUGGCAGGUGGAGCAGUGGAGGUCGGCGUUGAUCUGACCCAGCAGGCACACACGGUACGUAUGGGAUUGAUUAGAGGCACUGUGCUCUUGGUGAUAAGAAAUCGAAUUCCUUAAAACAAAUAAUAAAGUAAUUGGGUUUUUCGGCCCGGGGAAAAAGGAAUGGAUUCACGUCGCUCUGGCUGCCCACACAAGCUCAUUCCUUUUGGCCAUAGGUGGCCUGAAAGUCGUGUCCGGAAAUGCAUUAAUACCAGCACGAAUAGCAGUGAUCAUUAAUAAACCAACUGCACUCGGUAGAUUCUGGAACAUUAGGUGGUCGGCGGUGCUUGCGUGUUACGGUACAAGCACAUGUAGCCUAUGAGCUCCUAUUUCGUGUUUUCCCACGCAGUAAUUUCAUACAUACAUACAUACAUGUGCGUACGUACCCUCCUCCUCCUGAGCACGGCACAUUGAUGACCUGGCCGACUUGCAGCCUGGUGGGGACAACUCCCGGGUUCAAGGACUGAAUGACGUCCACGGUGGUGCCGCGCCGCUGAGCGAUGGCCCAAAAGGUGUCACCAGGCUGGAUGGUGUACGUGCAGCCUGCGUAAAUUGAGUGAGGCAAGGGAGACACCCUACUUAAGCAGGAGCAGCGCCGCUGCGGCUCAUUCGAUCAUCACAUAAAAUAUCGCCUCAACACACUUGUGCCCACAGGUCUGCUGCACUUUCCUAAAGUGUGGUGCGUGUGUAGUGACUGCCUGCUGGGUAGAUGGGGAGGAUGCAACAGCAGACGCGCAGCAGCAGGCGUAUGUUCAUUAUGUGUACAACAGCUAGCUUGCAAUAAUGUAUGUGCCGUACUGGACAUAUCCGUGAAUACUACGAUAGCAAGCCAUCGGCGACGGCGCUCGGUUACCAUUUCUCUAUUUUAAUCCUAUGUUUCAUCACUAGCAUAGCAUAUCAUAGCAUGCAUAUUCAUCUAUGGAAUGUUGCCACGUUUAGAGCUUGCAUAACCCAUCUGCAUAACAAAAUGUACAGUACAGAGCGGAGAGCUGAUCACUUGUCGGUUGCAGAGUGCGUUUCCUCCUUUCUGUCCCUAGGGCAUUAAAUUUAACUAUGUUAUAAUGUUCUCUAUCUGAUUUGUAAAUGGUCAUGAAGCCGCAUCCUUUGACAUGAUGAGUCCAACAGCCGACGUCGUUGGUUUCCAGUUGGAGCCCAGCCGACGCUCUGGGGAGCCCUCGGCCACAUCGCAACCGCCAAAAUGGAGUCCUCAAAAGCAACACAUACAUUUAGCCAGGCCGCAAAAACAGGCCUGGAAGGCUCCCGGAAGCUGGCAGGUGCAGGUGCCGCUCAGCUGCAUCAAGGUGCUUCAAGGCCCCAAACUACCUUGAAGCGUUAGGAUGGAUAAAAUGAAGAGUGUAGCUGCUGUAUUCUGGGCAUAUUACGGGAUCUGCGCCCGCCGAUCGAUACUUUUCUGACGCCGUGAUACAACUCUAGCACCGCUCAGCACCGCCGAGCAAUCAGUGCAAUCGUAGGUCAGUCGGCAUGCAGAUGUCAACAUAUGAUGUCAACAUUUAACCAUCCCACGUGCAUGCGUGCCGAGGCCUACCUCUUAAAGAGCAGGGCAAAUAUACAGUAUAUACUGACGUGAUGUCGGAAAAGCGAUGUAUGUGAUGGGAUUGAAUGACGGCACACCUACCUGAUGCCAGCAAGCGCCGGCUGCUGUCGCCAUCAGCGGCGCAUGUGUCGACGAUGAACGCGGAAGCGGCGACAGCUACGACAAGCAGCAGCAGGGUGCUGCUGAAGCGCGGCAUAUUUACUUCUCGAACCGAUCUACACUGUAUUGCGUUCGUAAAUUGCACGAUGUUUGAUGUACUGCUGUUUGAAGCUCUCCUAGCUGCUUUCAAGUGCGCAGACGCAUUCAACAUUAACCUCAGCGGAAGCUUUUAUGCAGCCCCUUGCAAAAACGUGAUUCAGGGUACGACCUGAAGAAACUGCCCGUACAAAGCAAAAUGCGAAGGCGACGGCGGGCCUCGCAAUUUGUGUAAAAUCCGCGGGCAUGCGAAAUUCGGCUUGGGCGGCUUAAGCGGCUUAAUUAAGCUUGGCAAGCAGAAAUCUUCAGAAUAAAUGAGCUGCUUAAGUGCGAAAAAGCAAAAACAAAGAAAAUAAAGCGAAAACAAAAAGACGGAUAAGGGCCGGGCUCCACUGAUUUGUUUGUUAGCGCGUUUCCAAAUUCCUGAAAAGACGCUAACGCGACACCUCGCCCCUUGACGCUUUUUAUUUCAAUGUUGCAUUACCUAUGAAUGAAAAUGGUAGAAAUGAUAAGAGAACGAAGGAAGCUGGGGCGACGGUGAAGAACGUAGGGCCCGUGUUGAGACAGGGCCCUGGUUAGGACAAAGCCAAUAAACUUUAACGCGAAAAUUUCUUUGCUCUAUUUUGAAUCGGCUUACGCCCAGUCCCCUUUGGAUAUCUCGCCUACGCUUUGAAGUGCUCGCCGCGUUGACUUUCGCUGACAUACAGCAGGACAACCUGCCGUCCCAGUUUCCCACCCCAACUUUGCCCACGCAGCUUUACAGUAUCCUUCAGUCUACAAUGGCGCAGCCCUUGCAGGGUCCGCCCCGUCGCCUCGACGCAUGGCACCAAGGACAUCAGAAGGGGCACCAGCCCGGUUACCAACAGCAAAAGAAUGUCCCCUCGCAUUUUGCUAUUGCAAUGUGCAACAGAAAUGCAGGAUAGGCGCCUUUGGGCGCUAAAAAACGGAAAAGGGUGGUUUCGGGGCGGCAAGCGGAAACGGAUUGGUAGCGGCGCAAUGAUUUUUUUUUCGAAGUUAACAAGCGACUCAGUGGAGCCCCCUGUAAGGAAUACACCAACAUAAAGGAAAGCUCGUGGCACGCGGGAAGAAAGCCGCAAUGUUAAAAAAGGAAACAUUCAAUAGAAAUAAGGACUUCAAUAGUUUGGCUUGCUGAGAAGCUCGGCGACAGGGUCGCAAAGGGCAGCCUUCAUAAGCAGCAGGCAUGGGCAAGGGUGGAGCUGGCCUUCAUCCGACCCCAGAGGAGCCUUGCAAGGUCGCUCGGUUUCUUGUGUAAUCACCAAGCAGUAUUAAACCUGGGCACAUGCAGCUUCGGUCGGCGCGGCAGGCCGAUGAUAGCAGUGUGCUGUUCUCAAGUGCGCAACGGUAGUAUGCUUCAGACGACACAACCACACAAUGGUGGUAUCGAAGGAUACCGAUUGAGACAAGUGUAUUGAAUAAAUAAUCAUCAGUGACUCCACUUGGGCCUCGCGCCGACAAGUCCCCAGUACGACUGGGCGGCGCGGUAACCCUGCCCGGGCGGCCGCCCGCCCGGCCGCCAGGGCGAUGGAUUCAGGGCGAUGACCUGGAUCCUGCACUUUUGGUACAGGGCGAUGGAUGACAUACAACAAAGGUCCCACUUGGCAAGAGAACAUAAGCCUGCCGACUUAGAACAAUUCAGUACUCCUUAAAUGAAUAAAAUGAAUAGAACGCUGCUAAAACAAUCAGUGUUGGAAAAUAUAGAUGGCGCCGCAAUGCUCACCUUCUGAUCCCCAUAAAGCCUUGAGACAGAAAGCAUAAGACAUAAUUGGAUGACGUCCCAGUAGCUUAAGUACUCAGUCCAUUGCUGGCACAUGUACAGCAAGCUGACGUAUGGAUACGCGGGAAGCCCAUGACCCAGUCUCUUGCCGUUUCGGACAUAGGGACCGUAUAGGCGUAAUGCCAGCGUCACGUGGAUAGCGAAGGCUCCCUAUGUGCGGCAUUCUUUGAUAGCGAUGAGCACGCUCGCUAGUAGCGUGCGUCUUUUUACAGACUAUCAGUAGCCGCCGCAGCUAACAGUAGCCGCAAGUAAACUAAUAUCAGUAUUAGUUAGACCUGUAAUCACCGACAGCGGACAUAUAGACAGGUAAUAGUUAGUGACAGUGAAGUUAGCAAAACAGACCAGACGAGCUCACUGCCGACAGUUAUGUGUGUGUGGUUGUUACAGUGGGCUCCAGACUCCCGAAGAGUAGAGCCAUCGGGCCAGCUGGCCGUGCACUGCAGUAGAGACUAAUAUACAAACUAGACAGUUAGGCUACGGAGCUGCAAGCUGUGCAGGCAGCUUACAGGAUACAACACUCUCGAGAGGAGCAUAUGCUAGCAUGUGCUCCUAGCCCUCUAGGGGGAUUUCAAGAAGCUCGGAGACCAGAUGCUUGAUCUGGAAAAUGAGCAACAACUCUCUCGCAUGGAGAUCAUCGAUCUCCAGGGCCGGUUCAGUAAGCUAGGAACCGACCUGAGCGGCAUCACGAUGGACGCUCCUGGAGUGAUCAGCAGCAACCGGUUCUUUUACUCGGACAGCAUCAUCAUCACGUCGGCGAGGUGUCGCGUUAGCGUCUUUUCAGGAAUUUGCAAACGCGCUAACAAACAAAUCAGUGGAGCCCGGCCCUUAUCCGUCUUUUUGUUUUCGCUUUAUUUUCUUUGUUUUUGCUUUUUCGCACUUAAGCAGCUCAUUUAUUCUGAGGAUUUCUGCUUGCCAAGUUUAAUUAAGCCGCUUAAGCCGCCCAAGCCGAAUUUCGCAUGCCCGCGGAUUUUACACACAUUGCGAGGCCCGCCGUCGCCUUCGCAUUUCGCUUUGUACGGGCAGUUUCUUCAGGUCGUACCCUGAAUCACGUUUUUGCAAGGGGCUGCAUAAAAGCUUCCGCUGAGGUUAAUGUUGAAUGCGUCUGCGCAUUUGAAAGCAGCUAGGAGAGCUUCAAACAGCGGUACAUCAAACAUCGUGCAAUUUACGAGCGCAAUACAGUGUAGAUCGGUUCGAGAAGUAAAUAUGCCGCGCUGCAGCAGCACCCUGCUGCUGCUUGUCGUAGCUGUCGCCGCUUCCGCGUUCAUCGUCGACGCAUGCGCCGCUGAUGGCGACAGCAGCCGGCGCUUGCUGGCAUCAGGUAGGUGUGCCGUCAUUCAAUCCCAUCACAUACAUACGCUUUUCCGACAUCACGUCAGUAUAUACUGUAUAUUUGCCCUGCUCUCUAAGAGGUAGGCCUCGGCACGCAUGCACGUGGGAUGGUUAAAUGUUGACAUCAUAUGUUGACAUCUGCAUGCCGACUGACCUACGAUUGCACUGAUUGCUCGGCGGUGCUGAGCGGUGCUAGAGUUGUAUCACGGCGUCAGAAAAGUAUCGAUCGGCGGGCGCAGAUCCCGUAAUAUGCCCAGAAUACAGCAGCUACACUCUUCAUUUUAUCCAUCCUAACGCUUCAAGGUAGUUUGGGGCCUUGAAGCACCUUGAUGCAGCUGAGCGGCACCUGCACCUGCCAGCUUCCGGGAGCCUUCCAGGCCUGUGGGUUUUUGCGGCCUGGCUAAAUGUAUGUGUUGCUUUUGAGGACUCCAUUUUGGCGGUUGCGAUGUGGCCGAGGGCUCCCCAGAGCGUCGGCUGGGCUCCAACUGGAAACCAACGACGUCGGCUGUUGGACUCAUCAUGUCAAAGGAUGGGGCUUCAUGACCAUUUACAAAUCAGAUAGAGAAGAUUAUAACAUGGUUAAAUUUAAUGCCCUAGGGACAGAAAGGAGGAAACGCGCUCCGCAACCCGACAAGUGAUCAGCUCUCCGCUCUGUACUGUACAUUUUGUUAUGCAGAUGGGUUAUGCAAGCUCUAAACGUGGCAACAUUCCAUAGAUGAAUAUGCAUGCUAUGAUAUGAUAUGCUAGUGAUGAAACAUAGGAUUAAAACAGAGAAAUGGUAACCGAGCGCCGUCGCCGAUGGCUUGCUAUCGUAGUACUGACGGAUAUGUCCAGUACGGCACAUACAUUAUUGCAAGCUAGCUGUUGUACACAUAAUGAACAUACGCCUGCUGCUGCGCGUCUGCUGUUGCAUCGUCCUUAUCUACCCAGCAGGCAGUCACUACACACGCACCACACUUUAGAAAAGUGCAGCAGACCUGUGGGCACAAGUGUGUUGAGGCGAUAUUUUAUGUGAGGAUCGAAUCAGCCACAGCGGCGCUGCUCCUGCUUAAGUAGGGUGUCUCCCUUGCCUCACUAAAUUUACGCAGGCUGCACGUACACGUACACCAUCCAGCCUGGUGACACCUUUUGGGCCCUCGCCCAGCGGCGCGGCACCACCGUGGACGUCAUUCAGGCCUUGAACCCGGGCGUUGUCCCCACCAGGCUGCAAGUCGGCCAGGUCAUCAAUGUGCCGUGCUCAGGAGGAGGGUACGUACGCAUGUAUGUAUGUAUGUAUGAAAUUACUGCGUGGGAAAACGAAAUAGGAGCUCAUAGGCUACAUGUGUGUGUGUGUUACAUGGUUGGGGGUGCGUGACCCCAUACCUGUAAGACUACCCAUACGAGCCGAAGGCCCAAGGGCAAUACUACAACGCCUAAAAGCCACGGAGAAAAGGAAAAAAAAAGGCUACAUGUGCUUGUACCGUAACACGCAAGCACCGCCGACCACCUAAUGUUCCAGAAUCUACCGAGUGCAGUUGGUUUAUUAAUGAUAACUGCUAUGAGUGCUGAUAUUAGUGCAUUUCCGGACACGACUUUCGGGCCACCUAUGGCCAAAAGGAAUGAACUUGUGUGGGCGGCCAGAGCGACGUGAAUCCAUUCAUUUUUCCCAAGUCCGAAAACCCCAAUUUAUUUCUUAUUUUAUUGAAUCUGAUUUCUUGUCACUAAGAGCACAGUGCCUCUAAUCAAUCCCAUACGUACCGUGUGUGCCUGCUGGAUCAGAUCAAUGCCGACCUCCACUACUCCAGCUGCCAGAGGUAAGCACAUGCACUUGCUUGCUCGCAGGUGGUGCAGAUAUAUAGACACAUGACUGCCCGUUUAGGAUUUCUUGCGUAGUUGCCUUACUGCUUAGGGGUCGUACAGACGGAGGGGUAGGAAAGUUGUGCUUUUGCUUCCGUGGGAAGGGGCGAGCCUGGUCACAAAAAAUUCGUUUCACUCAGAAAACAUACAGAUUUUAAGAUUUGUGUCAAAGUAAUAUUGUCAGAAAGAGGUGGAAUAGAUAGUAGUGUGGAAGUGGUGACGGCGGAGCCAUCGUCUGUCAUCCCCAGCAGUCCGGAGGCGAUCCAUCGUCAAUGAGAGCGCGGUGCUAUUGCGAACACAGCUGACGAAGGAGCGUUUACAAGGGGAUUACCUGGGCCUAUGGCUAGCUCGUUCUUGGGUGUCAUCCCACUUGCAUUUUGCGUUUGUUGAGUGUUUCAGAGGGAGGAGGUAAUAAAAUAAUCAUCCUUCGCAGCAAUUCUAUUGAAUCUGCAAACCCUGAACCAGCUGCUGAGUAAAUUAAAACAGUUAUGAACUAAUCAACUCGGAAGUCUCCCUCUGAGAAACACCGGACGGUACUUCGUUUAUAGCUGUUGGGUGCGACCGCUGACACCAUCCCAUAAUAUGCAUACUAUGCUAUGCUAGUGAUGAAACAGAGAAAUGGUAACAGAACGCCGUCGCCGAUGGCUUGCUAUCGUAGUAUUGACGGAUAUGUCCAGUACGGCACAUACAUUAUUGCAAGCUAGCUGUUGUACACAUAAUGAACAUACGCCUGCUGCUGCGCGUCUGCUGUUGCAUCCUCCCCAUAUACCCAACAGGCAGUCACUACACACGCACCACACUUUAGGAAAGUGCAGCAGACCUGUGGGCACAAGUGUGUUGAGGCGAUAUUUUAUGUGAGGAUCGAAUGAGCCGCAGCGGCGCUGCACUUGCUUAAGUAGGGUGUUUCCCUUGCCUCACUCAAUUUACACAGGCUGCACGUACACCAUCCAGCCUGGCGACACCUUUUGGGCCCUUGCCCAGGGGCGCGGCACCACCGUGGACGCCAUUCAGGCCUUGAACCCGGGCGUUGUCCCCACCAGGCUGCAAGUUGGCCAGGUCAUCAAUGUGCCAUGCGGCAGCAAUGGCCCUGCACCGCAAGGGUAUGUACCAUAUACGCACACAUGCAUAACACACCUGCAUGUGUGUCAUCAGGUCCCCUGUCUUCCCCCUGCCGGCUAGCUGUCCGGACUGUCCUCAGCACGGUAUAUGUGGCAUAUGUACGUGCGAUAGGAACCUCUGCGAAGGUAGAUGGGAUCAGUACUGCACGUGCAGCCAUGUGCCCUCUGCAUGCCUGUCUCCGAGGGUGUGUGUACGAACUCGACACGCUCUGCUUGCUGUUGUUGCUUCUGUGACAGAGUCUAGCUACUAUUAGACUACUAAUACCCCCCAAGCGUGUGUACACCACCCUGCCCGUCACACUUCGCCCCACUCUGUCCCCCACUGCCCGCGCAGUGGUGGUAGCAAAGUCCUUUACUCGGGAUCGGGCAGUGGCACCUACUACUACGACCUGCGCACCACGUGCCCCCAAAACCCCGGUGGCUUCCCAGAGAACAACGGCUACCCCUAUUGCGCCAGCUAUAACGCGUCUGCACCCACCUACAAGACUCUCGCUCAGCUGGGCAGUAAUAACGCCAUUGCCAUUGACCGGAAUGUGCUGUCAGCAAAUCGUGCCAGGCUGUGUGGCAAAAAAGUCCUGGUGUUCAAGAAUGGCGUUCCUGUGACGGCUCCGAACGGUGGUAGCUUCUUCGUGUGGGACGGCUGCGAGGCAUGUGUUGGCGGGGGUCGCAUUGACUUCAGUUUGAGUGGUUUGCAGGGGGCCGCCAGCAAUGCCUGUUCGCUGGGGGUGGUUCCGGGCAUCUCCUGGCAAGCGGUGGAUGAGGUGGUGCAGCGGUUUGUACCUCCGUGAUUGAUGAUGAGAACCUUAUAAUGUCCAGAUAGAUUGUUCUAUCCGUCGUACAUGCAUGGAGCGCUGGAUGCAUACACUUAUUUUCUGAGUGUCCUGGUUGAAAUAGUUGAAGAAAGACCGGCUCAUCACCGCCAUAAAUGAAAGCAGUUGUUGCGAGCGGAUUACCGUGGCUACCCUGGGCCAAACCCUGUGACAGACAACGGUAUAGACCAGGAGUGUUUAGGCCGGUGUAAAGUACCAAGGAAAGCCCCGCACCUCACACCCCGGACCGUCCCAAAUGACCAGCUAAAUGACUAAUACGAUGCUAACAAAAGGUUUUGUGGGCAAUGGCCAGAGCGGAGCAAGGUUGGCCAAGAUGCCGUACUCGUCGGUGUCGGACUCUUUCUGUGCUCAGCUGCAUAGGCUGUCAAAGCUGCUAGGGUCGUCGUAAUUUAUUCCUUAAGUGUGAGGCGCUGGGGGAAGCUCCGGGGCCCCCCAGACCCCCCACGAUAAGUCACAACUCCCCUCAUAGACCAAGAGUCACGCACUGAGUUGGCGCGUUUUCGUUCGUGUGUGAACUCUUCGUGCACGUGCGUAGAUAGUUCUGGCACUGUUUGUGAUCAAUAAGUAAAGUUGACCAAGCAAAGGCCCAAAGCAAGCAACCGCAUAGCAAAUCACAGGCCGCCACCCGCCGCUGCAAACCACAGCACACUAGGACUCUACCGGUUCAUCACGUACCGGCCCCUGCUGCUGCUGUCCAGCCACUCUCAGUGCGUCACGGAACGGGAACGUGCCCAGGUCGAACAGGUCCUGGGUAUACAUCCGCACACACAGUGCCAGGUGCUCGUCCAGGCGGUUGCGGGUGGGGUCCUGCAAGUACCCCAUUGCCGAGAACCGGCACUCUUCCUCCACCGACCCCGGCACCAUCACUAACACCAGACGGGUCCGCCUCAUUUUAUUCUUGCCAAAAUGCCUGUUUAUCCCUUUUAAGUAAUAUAUUACUUAAAAAAAACGCUGGAUGGAGAACACCGGCCGAACCAACAAAAAGAUCGAUCAUGCUCCCACCUGCUUCACCCUUGGGGAAGGUCAGACGACCCUCCAAAUCCCCAGAAACACGGCAAUUUAAUACCAGAAGUCCCUGUGAUCAGCACAGGGCACCCAACGGGUGCCCAACAAAAUCGCAGACGAGGUCCUCACUCCUACAUGCAGGCACGUCUGCAUAGCCCUGAGGGUCCGCGUCACCCGGCAAGCCCAUGAACUCCUGCAGUGCCGUCAGCUGAUCUAAAUCUGGAACAUCAUUAACAUACCCGGGCAGGUCAGCAGGCGAGGACCGGUGCUUUGCAUGCAGUGCACUGGAUAGACGGGCAUCUAGAUCACCGGCAAGCAUGACAUCCUCCCCCGGCUGCCGGAGCUCGGAAAUGUCUUGUUGGACUCUCGUGAAAGUAGCCUCUGCUGCUGCUGCAUGCUGUGCAUUAGUUGCACCUCCGGCUGGGUAUACUCUGGAAGCUUCGGGCGCAAGGUAACAGGCCCCCACCAGGAGGCUGUUUCCUGACAGGAGGUUGACACGUAUCCACAGGACCUCACAGCCUGCAAGACUGUUGUUUUUCCGGACAAUGGUAACCCCCUGGGAGACGGUAUCAUGCACGUAAAGAGCAACCCCGCCAUAGUCAGCGUGUACGGCGUCUCCUGACCUCUGCACCCGCAUCACGCGGAAACCUUCAAGGAACACGUCACUGUCUGGCACUGCAUCCGUUAAGUGUGCUUCGGUAGCAAUGAUGAUCACAUGGCUAGUCACAAAAUACUUAACUCCAGCAUGGCCAAGUUUUAUGACCCCUGUCUCCGGCAACCCAUAGACAUUCCACAACAAAACCUUCAAUCCUCUUUGCCCUGGGCUCGCGUUAUCCUAGUAUCCACUUCAGCAGGCAGGCCUGCAAACCGGUCAGCACUAGUAUGCUCGCCAGCCUGGUCAUGAGGUCGGUUAUCAGCUCUGCUGCUGGGCCCUGCAUGUCCCUCCCGGCUUCUAAUUGUUCCCUUGUCAACCCCAGAGCUUCAACUCCCACCACGGCUGUCUCGAUCCUGGUCCUUUGCACUCCUCCGCCCAGAGUGAAGCCGUCAAUGUCCAUGGUGGGGCCGGUGGCAAAGCUGGGCCUCGAAUCCCGAGGUGCUGGUGCCUGGUUUCGGGACUGGUCAAGCCUUCUAGGUGAUGCUGAGUACAUGAGCCUGUAUACUGGCUCUGUGCGUGGGUAUUUGCCUCCUUUUGCCUUUACUGCACUCAGUGAAGCCACGUGUGUUUCUCGGAUCUUCAUACCCAGCUGCUGUCUGUAAGACGGUGGAGCUGGUGGUGGGGCGGCUGGUGAUGAUGCCAUUGGCAUGGGAGGUGGUGGUGGCGGUGGUGGUGGUGGUGGCAUGCUGCCACCGGCAGCGGCACCACUGCUACCAGUAACACCGACUCCGCCUGUAUGGCCCUCAGAAGGCAUAUUUACAGCGUCGUCAUCAUUCUCAGCAUCCAUUCUCCGCCUUCUCCACCAUCGCUGUCGUCGUCACUGUACUGACUUGGGUAUGGCACCGGUGCUCCCCCGUUCGGUCUCUUCUUGUAAUACAGCUCCGCCCCGUUACACCACAUGGGGAUCCACUGCUUCACCUUAAUCACCUGCCACAUGGGCCGUAGCCUUGACCUUUCAGCACGCACUUCCUUGGUGAGCGAGUCGUCUACCCGAAGACCCAACCUUUUCAGGUCAGGUGCAGCAUUAAAGUAUUUGGACCGGUCUUUCCACCUGAUGUCAAUGAACCAGCUCUUCGUGUUGCGAUCUGGCCUCUCAAUAUGAGUGAGAAGACCGCUUGGCCAUUGCCCACAAAACCUUUUGUUAGCAUCGUAUUAGUCAUUUAGCUGGUCAUUUGGGACGGUCCGGGCUGUGCGGUGCGGGGCUUUCCUUGGUACUUUACACCGGCCUAAACACUCCUGGUCUAUACCGUGUGUCUGUUACAGGGUUUGGCCCAGGGUAGCCACAGUAAUCCGCUCGCAACAACUGCUUUCAUUUAUGGCGGUGAUGAGCCGGUCUUUCUUCAACUAUUUCAACCAUGACACUCAGGAAAUAAGUGUAUGCAUCCACGCAUGUAUCCAUGCAUGUACGACGGAUAGAACAAUCUAUCUGGACAUUAUAAGGUUCUCAUCAUCAAUCACGGAGGUACAAACUGCUGCACCACCUCAUCCACCACUUGCCAGGAGAUGCCCGGAACCACCCCCAGCGAACAGGCAUCGCUAGCCGCCCGCUGCAAACCACUCAAACUGAAGUCAAUGCGACCCCCGCCAACACAUGCCUCGCAGCCGUCCCACACGAAGAAGCUACCACCGUCCGGAGCCGUCACAGGAACGCCAUCCUUGAACACCAGGAUCUUUUUGCCACACAGCCCGGCACGAUUUGCUGACAGCACAUUGCGGUCAAUGGCAAUGACGUUAUUACUGCCCAGCUGAGCGAGAGUCUUGUAGGUGGGUGCAGACGGGUCAUAGCUGGCGCAAUAGGGGUAGCCGUUGUUCUCUGGGAAGCCGCCGGGGUUUUGGGGGCACGUGGUGCGCAGGUCGUAGUAGUAGGUGCCACUGCCUGAUCCCGAGUAAAGGACUUUGC
Molecule: long non-coding RNA, 33121 nt
Filed under: Volvox carteri
Lineage: Eukaryota; Viridiplantae; Chlorophyta; Chlorophyceae; Chlamydomonadales; Volvocaceae
Description: long non-coding RNA (VCAR_LNC003038)
Source: RNAcentral